RNAcentral lists this ribosomal RNA (807 nucleotides) under Stenotrophomonas maltophilia. RNAcentral describes it as "partial 23S ribosomal RNA". It matches the Rfam family "Bacterial large subunit ribosomal RNA", at positions 380 to 1191 of the family's 2925-position model. Lineage: Bacteria; Pseudomonadati; Pseudomonadota; Gammaproteobacteria; Lysobacterales; Lysobacteraceae. The record is from RNAcentral.
UGUAUCUGAAAGGGCCAUUUCAGUGAAGACGAGUAGGGCGGGGCACGUGAAACCCUGUCUGAACAUGGGGGGACCAUCCUCCAAGGCUAAAUACUACUGACCGACCGAUAGUGAACCAGUACCGUGAGGGAAAGGCGAAAAGAACCCCGGAGAGGGGAGUGAAAUAGAACCUGAAACCGUGUGCGUACAAGCAGUAGGAGCUCCGCAAGGAGUGACUGCGUACCUUUUGUAUAAUGGGUCAGCGACUUACUGUUCGUGGCAAGCUUAACCGUAUAGGGGAGGCGAAGGGAAACCGAGUCUGAUAAGGGCGCAUAGUCGCGGGCAGUAGACCCGAAACCGGGUGAUCUAGUCAUGCCCAGGGUGAAGGUGCGGUAACACGCACUGGAGGCCCGAACCCACUCCCGUUGCAAAGGUAGGGGAUGAGGUGUGAUUAGGAGUGAAAAGCUAAUCGAACCCGGAGAUAGCUGGUUCUCCUCGAAAGCUAUUUAGGUAGCGCCUCAUAUGUAUCCUCUCGGGGGUAGAGCACUGUUAUGGCUAGGGGGUCAUCGCGACUUACCAAACCAUUGCAAACUCCGAAUACCGAGACGGACUGUAUGGGAGACACACGGCGGGUGCUAACGUCCGUCGUGAAAAGGGAAACAACCCAGACCCACAGCUAAGGUCCCAAAUUUUGUGCUAAGUGGAAAACCAUGUGGAAAGGCACAGACAGCCAGGAGGUUGGCUUAGAAGCAGCCACCCUUUAAAGAAAGCGUAAUAGCUCACUGGUCGAGUCGGUCUGCGGGGAAGAUUUAACGGGGCUAAGCACAG